Molecule: ribosomal RNA, 253 nt
Filed under: uncultured bacterium
Lineage: Bacteria
Description: partial 16S ribosomal RNA
Rfam family: Bacterial small subunit ribosomal RNA
Source: RNAcentral
UACGUAGGGUGCAAGCGUUAAUCGGAAUUACUGGGCGUAAAGCGUGCGCAGGCGGCUUUGCAAGUCUGUCGUGAAAUCCCCGGGCUCAACCUGGGAAUUGCGAUGGAGACUGCAAGGCUAGAAUCUGGCAGAGGGGGGUAGAAUUCCACGUGUAGCAGUGAAAUGCGUAGAGAUGUGGAGGAACACCGAUGGCGAAGGCAGCCCCCUGGGUCAAGAUUGACGCUCAUGCACGAAAGCGUGGGGAGCAAACAGG